CGUGGAAGCUUCUCGGAGGCCCGGAAAGCCGCCUGUGGAUCUCAUCAUCUUAUUUGGUUAACCGAACGCCGUGGCCUCUUGGUGCUGGCGAGGGCUCUGUUGUUCUUGGAAACGAGGCUGCGAGCCUCUCAGACCCUUGUCCGCACGGGCAGGCGGCCCUGAAGAGCGCGGAGUGAGGAAGCAGAGCCUCCAGCGAGCCCUGCACGUGGUCAUGUCCAGCGAGAGAAUAGGAAAGAAGGAAAACACGGCCCCCCAUCCUCAAGGACGAAGCAUAACCACAGCCAGUGGAAUUUCAGUGAAGCAUUUUUGGACCGUGACACACAGUAAAAAUACAUUUACCAUAUGAAUCAUGACCCAAUACCUCUAUCCAUCCAUCCACCCAUCCAUCCACAAUAAAACUUUAAUGAACCCUGGCUAGGAGCGGUCCAGCCUGAUAUUUUCUGUUCCCUUCUGUUUUUCUAACCCUGUCCCACAACCCGCUAAGCCCAUCUCGUGACCCACAGAGGGAUUGUUAUCC
RNAcentral lists this long non-coding RNA (517 nucleotides) under Capra hircus (goat). RNAcentral describes it as "lncRNA (ENSCHIG00000005381.1)". The record is from RNAcentral. Lineage: Eukaryota; Metazoa; Chordata; Mammalia; Artiodactyla; Bovidae.